AUCCGAGGAAAUAAGGUGGAGUCU
RNAcentral lists this non-coding RNA (24 nucleotides) under Arabidopsis thaliana (thale cress). The record is from RNAcentral. Lineage: Eukaryota; Viridiplantae; Streptophyta; Magnoliopsida; Brassicales; Brassicaceae.